CAGUCGCCACGGUAAUACAGAGGGUGCGAGCGUUAAUCGGAUUUACUGGGCGUAAAGCGUGCGUAGGCGGCUUCUUAAGUCGGAUGUGAAAUCCCUGAGCUUAACUUAGGAAAUGCAUUCGAUACUGGGAAGCUAGAGUAUGGGAGAGGAUGGUAGAAUUCCAGGUGUAGCGGUGAAAUGCGUAGAGAUCUGGAGGAAUACCGAUGGCGAAGGCAGCCAUCUGGCCUAAUACUGACGCUGAGGUACGAAAGCAUGGGGAGCAAACAGGAUUAGAGACCCCCGUAGUCCCUGUCUCUUAUAC
Molecule: ribosomal RNA, 301 nt
Filed under: uncultured bacterium
Lineage: Bacteria
Description: partial 16S ribosomal RNA
Rfam family: Bacterial small subunit ribosomal RNA
Source: RNAcentral